This is a non-coding RNA of Peromyscus maniculatus bairdii (prairie deer mouse), 634 nucleotides long. Lineage: Eukaryota; Metazoa; Chordata; Mammalia; Rodentia; Cricetidae. The record is from RefSeq and is a predicted model, not a curated record.
GAAGGCUGAGGCGGAGAGACACUGCAGCCGCCGCCAUGACCAGCAGCAUGUGAAGACGCCGUGAGAAUUCUGCCGUGAUAAGCCCCGCUCAACACCUUCACAAGGAUUUUACUCAGUCAUGGAGUCAUCUGGUGGGGAUGCCAAUCACCAGCCACACCUCCCUCAUUGGCCACUUUCUGUUCAGAAUUAUAAAGUUCAAGGUCUUUGCUGCUUUUCUCUCUCCUGCUGCUUCUCAUUUUUCACUGCACUAGAAAUAAACCUGAAUUUCCAGGAGGGGUUUAUUUAUUAACACAGGAUCUAAGCAGUCUUGUUCAUGUGUUGAUUCCAGAAGGAAGUAUGUUUAUUAGAAUAAUGCUAAAUAUAAAAACAAUGUCACAUUCCAAAUGGCUUUGUGUAAAAAAAUGUGUAUUUUUAUCAUCUGCUAAACAUCAUCUGACACAAUCUUUCUCAUCACUGUUUCCUUAUUAAUGGGAAGAGCUAUACUUUCUUAUAAUUUGUGUCUGAAGUAUAGCAUAUUUCACUUAAAUGUUAUUGGAUUUAUAAUAAUAAGUAUAACGUUGCUAGAGGGCAAGUAUUUUGUUUUAUUAUUAAAAACAAUACCAAUAAGUGAAAAUAAAAGUCUUACUCAAAAUGA